Molecule: ribosomal RNA, 868 nt
Filed under: uncultured crenarchaeote
Lineage: Archaea; Thermoproteati; Thermoproteota
Description: bacterial SSU rRNA
Rfam family: Archaeal small subunit ribosomal RNA
Source: RNAcentral
ACCCCACUGCUAUCGGGAUAGGACUAAGACAUGCUAGUCGAGCGCUUCGAGCCAAAAAGAGGCGCGGCAUACAGCUCAGUAACACGUGGCUAAUCUGCCCUUGGGAUAGGAACACCCCCGGAAAACUGGGGCUAAUUCCCAAUAGGCGAAGAACUCUGGAAUGAGUCUUUACCAGAAAAGACGCUUGCGUUAUGCUCGUAAGUGUCGCCCAAGGAUGAGGCCGCGACCGAUCAGGUUGUUGGUGAGGUAAUGGCUCACCAAGCCUUUUACCGGUGCGGGCCGUGAGAGCGGGAGCCCGGAGAUGGGCACUGAGACAAGGGCCCAGGCCCUACGGGGCGCAGCAGUCGCGAAAACUUUGCAAUAAGCGAAAGCUUGACAGGGCUAUCCCGAGUGCCAUCCGCUGAGGAAGGCUUUUACCCAGUCUAGAACGCUGGGGGAAUAAGGAGAGGGCAAGUCUGGUGUCAGCCGCCGCGGUAAUACCAGCUCUCCGAGUGGUGUGGAUGUUUAUUGGGCCUAAAGCAUCCGUAGCUGGCUAGGUUAGUCCCCUGUUAAAUCCACCGAAUUAAUCGUUGGAUUGCGGGGGAUACUGCUUGGCUAGGGGACGAGAGAGGCAGACGGUAUUUCCGGGGUAGGGGUGAAAUCCUAUAAUCCCGGGAAGACCACCAGUGGCGAAGGCUGUCUGCUAGAACGCGCCCGACGGUGAGGGAUGAAAGCUGGGGGAGCGAACCGGAUUAGAUACCCGGGUAGUCCCAGCUGUAAACGAUGCAGACUAGGUGUUUGGACGGCCACGUGCCGUUCUAGUGCCGCAGGGAAGCUGUUAAGUCUGCCGCCUGGGGAGUACGAUCGCAAGAUUGAAACUUAAAGGAAU